UACGUAGGGUCCAAGCGUUAUCCGGAAUCGCUGGGCGUAAAGCGUGCGUAGGUGGAUGUUUAAGUGUGAUGUUAAAUCGUGUGGCUCAACCAUAUCGAUGCAUCGCAUACUGGACGUCUAGAGGACAGCAGAGGCAAGUGGAAUUUGUAGUGUAGCAGUGAAAUGCGUAGAUAUUACAAGGAACACCAAUGGCGAAGGCAGCUUGCUGGGCUACUCCUGACACUGAGGUACGAAAGCGUGGGGAGCGAACAGG
This 253-nucleotide ribosomal RNA is filed under the name uncultured bacterium. Its description in RNAcentral is "partial 16S ribosomal RNA". It matches the Rfam family "Bacterial small subunit ribosomal RNA", at positions 524 to 776 of the family's 1533-position model. The record is from RNAcentral.